Cervus elaphus (red deer) is the source of this 1211-nucleotide long non-coding RNA. RefSeq lists it as uncharacterized. Lineage: Eukaryota; Metazoa; Chordata; Mammalia; Artiodactyla; Cervidae. The record is from RefSeq and is a predicted model, not a curated record. The transcript is spliced from 4 exons.
GAGACACAUGCUCCCCUAAGGGUAACCUGGGGCUUCCUAUCACCACAGUUUGUGGAUGCAUAAGAAAGACUGCACUGGACGGAAAAAAAUACAGUAUUCAAGCCUCCUUGCUCAUCCUGCAGAGACCCUGCGGUUCCAGGACUACCUCAGUGGCGGGAAAACCUCAACCAGCACAGCUCACGCCCAACUCAGGGAGCAUGCGCAGUGUACCCCUUCGUGCGCAUGCGCCUCGGUGCACGUCCGCCUUCCUGAGCGUUCUGUGAGGAGCGUUGGGCCUGAGACGGGUGUGUUUAUUCAAUCCCGGUCCUUUCUGACCACUUGAGCCUCACCAGGGAGAAAUAUGAAUGGGCAAGGGGCAUCAACACUGGGACCUGUAGAUCCAGAUUGCUCCCGGCUGGAUGAACGUGUGGUUGACCCGCAGCCCAGUGUUGAGCAACCUCAAGAAGAGGGACCACCAGCUGAGAUUCAGGAUAUCACACCUGAAAAGGAGGAAGUAAGUGGAGAGGAUCCAGUGAAUCCUGAUGAAGAGAAGGAGAAGGAUGCCUCUGAAGCGGAAUUCAUGCGUUGUUUUUAAAGAUGCUGUCCUGGAAACUGAUCUCCGGGAAUUGGCAGUGGCAAAGACUGGGGGUCAGGGUGGAGAUGGUCCUGAUGUCAAGGAGGAGAUUGCAUCAAACAGAGAGCCUGUUGAAAUGCCAGAAGCAGGUAUGUCAUCCAUUCAGAAAGUAAUUUAUGUGGUUUCUGUUUUUCCAGAAUAUUAUAUCUUUAAUAAUAUAGAGGGAACACUACUAUUAUUUUAAUAACAGAGUUCACAUAUUCUUUGAAAGGUAGUUCAGACCCCAGAUGCCUGAGUGUCUGACUUACAGACUUGCGAAUAAAGAAAGUCUGUAACUUUCUUUAUUCGGAUCAAAGCCAUAUCGAGUUGAAAAUAGGAAACCGUUUUCUUCAUUAUAUAAGUACUUUAAGCAACAGUUAAUAAUUUUCAGGUUCUUUUAUAAUUUCUGCUUGUAACAAAUAUGGAGUGCAUUUGUAAUAGAUAUCAGUUUAUAUGAAAUAUGCUCAGGCAUUCAAGUAGGUUCUAGUACCAGCUUUAACAUAAUGUGUGUGAUUCUGUGAAAUCCCUUAACUUCUAAACUCAACUUGACUCAUAUAAAUUGUGAAUUCAGAACAGAUACACUAAAAUGCUCAUUUUUCAAUGCUAAUUUUUGCAUUCU